This 67-nucleotide transfer RNA is filed under the name Coleoptera sp. 3 KM-2017. Its description in RNAcentral is "tRNA-Glu". The record is from RNAcentral. Lineage: Eukaryota; Metazoa; Arthropoda; Insecta; Coleoptera.
AUUUAUAUAGUUUAAACAAAACCUGUCAUUUUCAAUGACAAAAUGGAGAAUAUUUCCCCUAUAAAUA